Long non-coding RNA from Lolium perenne, 653 nucleotides. RefSeq lists it as uncharacterized. Lineage: Eukaryota; Viridiplantae; Streptophyta; Magnoliopsida; Poales; Poaceae. The record is from RefSeq and is a predicted model, not a curated record.
GACCCAUCACUCUCGAUCGCAUCUUGUCCCACGCUGGCCUUCGCGAUAGGAGACCCCCUCUCGCUUCCACCUCCUUCGCAAGUGAAGCGCCUCCUCCAGCCGAGGAGGAGCACAACGACUGGGUCAUCGCAGAUCGCCUCUGCCCACUCCCGUGAUGGGACGGCCACUAAGGUAUCGACCACGCCUCCUCCGACAAGAACGAUCACAAAUUGAUUUGACCCCAAAGAUUUCUCAUGUGUACCUUCUGUCUGGUUCCUCUUCCGCUAGCUCUUCUGAGUGUAGGGCAGAGUUCUGCAUGGACACCUGCAAUGGCCAGGGUCAACAAUGAUGCAGAGUUCUGCAUGGACGAGUACCUGCAACGGCCAGGGUCAACAAUGAUGCAGAUCAGAUGUUCAACUACAGCCCCAUCUAGCCAAAGUCAGAUGUUGGUUGCAAGAAGGGGCUCUGUAGGUUGCGAGAGCUUCUGGUAAUGCAACAACAAGAAUCGACAUGGAGGUCUAGCCGUCUGGAAGUUAACGACUGAUAUUGUCCUGCUUGGGUUCAUUCUGGGCUUAAUUUUGCUGUAUAUAUGUGAUUUAAGCCGUGGAAGUAUUGUAAUAGACUUAAUUGUUGCUGUUGUGAAAACAUGUUCAUGUAUUCUUCGGUUCUGAUUA